UACGUAGGGUGCGAGCGUUAAUCGGAAUUACUGGGCGUAAAGCGUGCGCAGGCGGUUUUGUAAGCCAGAUGUGAAAUCCCCGGGCUUAACCUGGGAAUGGCAUUUGGGACUGCAAGGCUGGAGUGUGGCAGAGGAGACUGGAAUUCCCGGUGUAGCAGUGAAAUGCGUAGAUAUCGGGAGGAAUACCGAUGGCGAAGGCAGGUCUCUGGGCCGAUACUGACGCUGAGGAGCGAAAGCGUGGGGAGCGAACAGG
Molecule: ribosomal RNA, 253 nt
Filed under: uncultured bacterium
Lineage: Bacteria
Description: partial 16S ribosomal RNA
Rfam family: Bacterial small subunit ribosomal RNA
Source: RNAcentral